AAGAAGUAGUUAUAUCUAAUAUCGAUGCUGAGAAAUAUAAGGAUUUGGUAAAGAAGUGAGUGCGGUAACAUCUCUUUAUUUUACGAAUACAAAGUUGUUCUUUUUUAAAGAAUUAUAUUUUUUAUGGAGGAAGAAAUAGUUAUAGUUAAUAUCAAUGCCGAGGAAUACAAGGAUUUGAUAAAGAAAUGAGUGCAGUAACAUCUUUUUAUUUUACGAAUACAAAGUUGUUCUUUUUUAAA
This 239-nucleotide long non-coding RNA is filed under the name Lathyrus oleraceus (garden pea). RNAcentral describes it as "Pisum sativum (pea) long non-coding RNA (PSAT_LNC027354)". Lineage: Eukaryota; Viridiplantae; Streptophyta; Magnoliopsida; Fabales; Fabaceae. The record is from RNAcentral.